This 468-nucleotide ribosomal RNA is filed under the name uncultured bacterium. RNAcentral describes it as "partial 16S ribosomal RNA". It matches the Rfam family "Bacterial small subunit ribosomal RNA", at positions 28 to 507 of the family's 1533-position model. The record is from RNAcentral.
GACGAACGCUGGCGGCGUGCUUAACACAUGCAAGUCGAACGGAUAGGCCCUGCUUUUGUGGGGUGCUCGAGUGGCGAACGGGUGAGUAACACGUGAGUAACCUGCCCUUGACUUUGGGAUAACUUCAGGAAACUGGGGCUAAUACCGGAUAGGAGCUCCUGCUGCAUGGUGGGGGUUGGAAAGUUUCGGCGGUUGGGGAUGGACUCGCGACUUAUCAGCUUGUUGGUGGGGUAGUGGCUUACCAAGGCUUUGACGGGUAGCCGGCCUGAGAGGGUGACCGGCCACAUUGGGACUGAGAUACGGCCCAGACUCCUACGGGAGGCAGCAGUGGGGAAUAUUGCACAAUGGGCGGAAGCCUGAUGCAGCAACGCCGCGUGCGGGAUGACGGCCUUCGGGUUGUAAACCGCUUUCGCCUGUGACGAAGCGUGAGUGACGGUAAUGGGUAAAGAAGCACCGGCUAACUACGUG